AAGUCGAACGAGCGAGAGAGAGCUUGCUUUCUCGAGCGAGUGGCGAACGGGUGAGUAACGCGUGAGGAACCUGCCUCAAAGAGGGGGACAACAGUUGGAAACGACUGCUAAUACCGCAUAAGCCCACAGCUCGGCAUCGAGCAGAGGGAAAAGGAGCAAUCCGCUUUGAGAUGGCCUCGCGUCCGAUUAGCUAGUUGGUGAGGUAAUGGCCCACCAAGGCGACGAUCGGUAGCCGGACUGAGAGGUUGAACGGCCACAUUG
Molecule: ribosomal RNA, 261 nt
Filed under: Faecalibacterium prausnitzii
Lineage: Bacteria; Bacillati; Bacillota; Clostridia; Eubacteriales; Oscillospiraceae
Description: partial 16S ribosomal RNA
Rfam family: Bacterial small subunit ribosomal RNA
Source: RNAcentral